This 390-nucleotide unclassified non-coding RNA is filed under the name soil metagenome. RNAcentral describes it as "partial contains 5.8S ribosomal RNA, internal transcribed spacer 2, and large subunit ribosomal RNA". The stretch from base 1 to 122 matches the Rfam family "5.8S ribosomal RNA", at positions 35 to 154 of the family's 154-position model. The record is from RNAcentral.
GAUGAAGAACGUAGCGAAAUGCGAUACUUGGUGUGAAUUGCAGAAUCCCGCGAAUCAUCGAGUUUUUGAACGCAAGUUGCGCCCGAAGCCAUUCGGCCGAGGGCACGUCUGCCUGGGUGUCACGCAACGUUGCCCCCCCAAACUCCGGUUCGGGCGGGGCGGAAGUUGGCCUCCCGUGCGUGCCUGCGCGCGCGGUUAGCCCAAAAGCGAGUCCUCGGCGAUGAGCGCCACGACAAUCGGUGGUUUUUUUACCCUCGUUCCUCGUCGUGCGUGCCCCGUCGCCCGAACGCGCUCUUGCAACCCUUACGCGUCGCCUCGGUGGCGCUCCCAACGCGACCCCAGGUCAGGCGGGACUACCCGCUGAGUUUAAGCAUAUCAAUAAGCGGAGGA